RNAcentral lists this ribosomal RNA (253 nucleotides) under uncultured bacterium. RNAcentral's name for it is "partial 16S ribosomal RNA". It matches the Rfam family "Bacterial small subunit ribosomal RNA", at positions 524 to 776 of the family's 1533-position model. The record is from RNAcentral.
UACGGGGGGGGCAAGCGUUGUUCGGAAUUACUGGGCGUAAAGGGCUCGUAGGCGGCCAACUAAGUCAGACGUGAAAUCCCUCGGCUUAACCGGGGAACUGCGUCUGAUACUGGAUGGCUUGAAUCCGGGAGAGGGAUGCGGAAUUCCAGGUGUAGCGGUGAAAUGCGUAGAUAUCUGGAGGAACACCGGUGGCGAAGGCGGCAUCCUGGACCGGCAUUGACGCUGAGGCGCGAAAGCUAGGGUAGCAAACGGG